GAUGAAGAACGCAGCGAAAAGCGAUACGUAAUGUGAAUUGCAAAUUCAGUGAAUCAUCGAGUCUUUGAACGCACAUUGCGCCCCCUGGUAUUCCGGGGGGCAUGCCUGUCCGAGCGUCAUUGCUGCCCUCAAGCACGGCUUGUGUGUUGGGCCCCGUCCUCCGAUCCCGGGGGACGGGCCCGAAAGGCAGCGGCGGCACCGCGUCCGGUCCUCGAGCGUAUGGGGCUUUGUCACCCGCUCUGUAGGCCCGGCCGGCGCUUGCCGAUCAACCCAAAUUUUUAUCCAGGUUGACCUCGGAUCAGGUAGGGAUACCCGCUGAACUUAAGCAUAUCAAUAAGCGGAGGA
Molecule: unclassified non-coding RNA, 345 nt
Filed under: soil metagenome
Description: partial contains 5.8S ribosomal RNA, internal transcribed spacer 2, and large subunit ribosomal RNA
Rfam family: 5.8S ribosomal RNA (bases 1-119)
Source: RNAcentral